Molecule: ribosomal RNA, 492 nt
Filed under: uncultured bacterium
Lineage: Bacteria
Description: partial 16S ribosomal RNA
Rfam family: Bacterial small subunit ribosomal RNA
Source: RNAcentral
AGUGAACGCUGGCGGUAGGCCUAACACAUGCAAGUCGAACGGCAGCACAGUAAGAGCUUGCUCUUACGGGUGGCGAGUGGCGGACGGGUGAGGAAUACAUCGGAAUCUACUUUUUCGUGGGGGAUAACGUAGGGAAACUUACGCUAAUACCGCAUACGACCUACGGGUGAAAGCAGUGGAUCUUCGGACCUUGCGCGAUUGAAUGAGCCGAUGUCGGAUUAGCUAGUUGGCGGGGUAAUGGCCCACCAAGGCGACGAUCCGUAGCUGGUCUGAGAGGAUGAUCAGCCACACUGGAACUGAGACACGGUCCAGACUCCUACGGGAGGCAGCAGUGGGGAAUAUUGGACAAUGGGCGCAAGCCUGAUCCAGCCAUACCGCGUGGGUGAAGAAGGCCUUCGGGUUGUAAAGCCCUUUUGUUGGGAAAGAAAAGCAGCAGGUUAAUACCCCGCUGUUCUGACGGUACCCAAAGAAUAAGCACCGGCUAACUUCGUG